GAAUUUGAAGCGAUAAAUUGCAAUUAGUUUCGACCUAAUUUUAGAUGUAUUACAUCCAUAUUCU
This 64-nucleotide transfer RNA is filed under the name Rhipidia chenwenyoungi. RNAcentral describes it as "tRNA-Arg". Lineage: Eukaryota; Metazoa; Arthropoda; Insecta; Diptera; Limoniidae. The record is from RNAcentral.